GACGAACGCUGGCGGCGUGGAUUAGGCAUGCAAGUCGAACGGUAUCAUCCUUUCGGGGGUGAGAGAGUGGCGAACUGGUGAGUAACACGUAGGUUAUCUACCCUCAAGACGGGGACAACCCAGGGAAACUUGGGCUAAUACCGGAUGUGAGCAACUUUUAGUUGUUUGAAAGGUGGCGUAAGCUGUCGCUUGGGGAUGAGCCUGCGUCCUAUUAGUUAGUUGGUGAGGUAACGGCUUACCAAGGCGAUGAUAGGUAGGCGGCCUUAACGGGUGGUCGCCCACACUGGGAUUGAGAUACGGCCCAGACUCCUACGGGAGGCAGCAGUCGAGAAUAGUCUACAAUGGACGGAAGUCUGAUAGUGCGACGCCGCGUGAACGAAGAAUCCCUUCGGGGUGUAAAGUUCUUUUAUACGUGAGCAGUGUCCUUUAUAUUAAUAGUAUAAGGGGAGAGAUAUUAGCGUAUGAAUAAGCAACGGCUAACUCCGUG
Molecule: ribosomal RNA, 487 nt
Filed under: uncultured bacterium
Lineage: Bacteria
Description: bacterial SSU rRNA
Rfam family: Bacterial small subunit ribosomal RNA
Source: RNAcentral